GGGCACAUGGUGUAGAGGUUCAUCACUCUUGCUUUGCAACAGCUGGCGCUGGUUCGACUCCUAGUGUAAUUGUAAGCGGUCCUGGGUUCAAGUCCCAGUGUGUCCA
Roridomyces roridus is the source of this 106-nucleotide non-coding RNA. The record is from the annotation of a GenBank genome assembly. Lineage: Eukaryota; Fungi; Basidiomycota; Agaricomycetes; Agaricales; Mycenaceae.